GCAAGCUCUGCGUGGUCUUGGGUGGCGAGUUCGAGCCUUAGAACGGCCGAGUGCCCUGGAACCGGUUUCGGCUCUGGCGUCCUCGCGUGUCCUCCGGCUCCAGGUUACAACGUCAGUAUUGGCGCCUUGGCGCGGUCCCGUCCUGCUCUCGUCCUCCGUUCCGUGGACCCCGGGGCUGUUCUGGCGCCUCGCAGGCCGGGCCCCUCCCAUCGACUCGAUGGGCAGGGCUCUGCGAGGCUCGGGGACCGGGGACGCGCGGCCUUCCUGACAAGGAGCCCGAGGGUCUGCACAGCCUGGGGCACCACCCGGCCUGGUGAGGAUGAUCGCUGUGCGCGCGAUGCACAUGCGCCCUCAACACCUCUGCACAUUCAUGCACGUGUCCAUACAUGGGUGCACACACGUCCUUACACGUAUGUACAUACGCAUGUGUACACACGCCCAUGUCUACACGCGCACAUGUCUGCACACGAGUCACACGUGCAAGUGCACGCAUGGAUGGUGGACACGCGUUUACACACGUGAAUAUGUGUAUACACAUGCAGACACAUGUGCCUGCCCACAUGGAUGUGUGCACAAACAAGCACAGAGGUCCUCAGUGGCUCACUCCUGGUGGCCGUGUGCUGUGGGCUGGGAAUGGCCAUACUCAUUUCUCAGAGCUUUUGAGUUGUGUGUGUUUCCAGUUGUGCAUAUUAAUUAGAAAAAACAAAAGUGAAUUUGUAGGUUAAGGCAGGUCCUUAAGUUUCCUUAAUUUCCUCUCCCUGGAGACCUGGCAGGCUGGGCCGGGCACUGCUGCGGAAGGCCAGCCGCACCCUGAGUCAGGUCUUCUCCAGAAGGUUCAGGGCAAGCUCUGGAUUACAGAUAGGAAACCAAAUGCAUGAGGAAGGCACUGCUCACCCUGCAAUGACGGUCAAGGUGUGGGGUGGGGAGCAGCAGCCUGGAGGUCAGAGCCAGGACCUUGGGGGCUGAGAGUGGUGUGCUUGCCUGGUGAUCUUCAGCAAUGGGAGGCCUGGUGUCACCCUGGGGCCCAGACUGUGAAGGACUGGUGGCUUUGGGGAUCUGCGUGAUCCAGGGGGCCCAAGCAUCUGCCCAGCCGGCAUUCUGUGCACUGCCCACCUGCCUGUGUUGUCAACGAGGACGGGGUUUGCUAAAAUGCAGAUUCUUGCCUCUUCCCUAGUCUGAGUCCAGGGUCUGUGGUCAGGCCUGGGAAUCUGUAUUCAUUGAGGCCCUUUGGGUCCCGCCAUCAUAGCAGCCUGUCUUUACUUUGGGUGGAGGUCGGAGGUCUGCACAUCACCCAGGAGGCUUACCAGUGGUAACCCAAGAAGAGGGAAGAUGGCAAGAGGGUCUUUGCAGGGUUGGGAGGGCAAGGAUGGAAGGACCUGGGAGGCCACAGCACCCUCUCGGACUUGGCGCAGAACCCGUGGAAACAGCCUGCGAUGCACGGAUGGAGGUGGCUUUGCCCUGUGUCUGCUGGUGCCUCUGGAACUCCGGCUCUGACAGACGCUGCGUCUCCUGCUGACUGCUGCAUCCCAAGAUGAGCCCAGCGCUUGCACACAGGGCGUCCCAAAGUGUUUGUUGAACAAAGGCAUGAUCAGUGUUGGUAUUGCCCUGAGACUCAUGCCCUCAGCCCCGAUUCGGGCACAUGGCUCAUGUCAACCGCUGGAAGUCCCUCUGGGGCCCACAAAUGUCUCUAGACCACAGGAAGAGUCGGCCUGGCUCCAUGUGCCUGGCGCCUGGGGCAGAAAGGUGGACGGGGCAAUCAGAGUGGUCACCAUCGGGGAGUACACUUUGCACUCCACUCGAGUCUCCAGGGAUAUAACUCACUGGAUCCUAAGUCUCACUUUCUGAGGGCCGUUCUUAGAGUCUCCUGUAUGAAAUCAGGCUACAUCCAGAGAAAGUUCCAGAAAUAAGAAAAGAUGAGAUCGCCUACUGACCCUCCCAUUUUUUGCACACGGACACUGAGGGAGGGGAGGAACUUGCUCAAGGGCACCACACAAUUUUUUUUUGAGAUGGAGUCUCAAAGAUGGAGAAUUCCUCCAACCAUGAGGAAUUUGAACGCUUAUCCCGAAUAGUGGAAAAUGAACGUCUCAUGGAGUUAGGGCCUGUCACCACCUGGGGAUCUACAGUCAGACAUGGCAUAGAGGAUGCCCUCCCAGAUCCCGCUCUGUCUCCCAGACUGGAGUGCAGUAGUGCCACCUUGGCUCACUGCAACCUCCGUCUUCCGGAUUCAAGCGAUUCUCUGGCCUUAGCCUCCUGAGUAGAUGGGAUUACAGGCGCACACCACCACACCCGGCUAAUUUUGUAUUUUUACUAGAGAUGGGGCUUCACCAUGUUGGCCAGGCUGGUCUUGAACUCCUGACCUCAAGUGAUCCACCUGCCUCAGUCUCCCAAAGUGCUGGGAUCACAGGCAUGAGCCAACAUACCCAGCCCACCCCAUGAGUUAUUGCUAGAGUGGUGGGGUAGGGACCCGGCCCCCAGCUCUCAGUGCUGGACAUGGGCAGGGUGGGCAUGGGUUCCCUUCCAGCCCUGGCAGAGCCCUGGACCAUGCGUGCUUUUCCCCUCAAGUGUCGAGGCAGGCAGGGCUGCUGCAUAGAAUACAAGAUGCCCCAUUGAGAUGGAAUCUCAGACAAAUGAGUCAUGUUUUACUGUAAGCAUAUCCCAAAUAUUUCAUGGGACACACUUAUACUAAAACUUAUUCAUUGUUUAUCUGAGCUUCAAAUGUAGUGGAGUGCCCUGUAUUUUUAUUUGCUAAAUUUGGCAGCCCUAGUAACGGGAGCUGGAAGGCUUUUGUUAUUUGCCCUCAAGCAGCAUUUCCUGGCAUUGGCUUCAGUGACCAGUUGUCUCUUGAAAUGUCCCAUGGACAGAAGGGAAGAAAACUGGGAAAUACUGUGUUAAAUAAACUUGCACAAUUCCUUUUUUUUUUUCUUUAAAGAAAAGCCUAGCCGGGCGUGGUGGCUCACACCUGUAAUCCCAGCACUUUGGGAGGCCAAGAAGGGCGGCUCACAAGGUCAGGAGUUUGAGACUAUCCUGGCCAAUGUGUUGAAACCCCAUCUCUACUAAAAAUAAAAAAAUUAGCUGGGUGUGGUGUCGGGUGCCUGUAAUCCCAGCUACUUGGGAGGCUGAGGCAGGAGAAUUGCUUGAACCCAGGCGGGAGGUUGCAGUGAGCUGAGAUCACGCCGCUGCACUCCAGCCUGGGCAACAGAGUGAGACUCCGUCUCAAAAAAAAAGAAAAGAAAAGAAAAGAAAAAAGCCUAUUAGUUGGCAGGAGGGCUUAUGAAAAUGAGGCCUGGGGGAUGUGUCAUUUACUCAACUGUCUUGGCUAAUGGGAUCUCUAGGCUGGUGAGGUUGCGUUCUGUGUUUUUUUUUUUUUUUUUUUUUUUUUUUGAGACGGUGUCUCGCUCUGUUGCUGAGGGUGGAGUGCAGUGGUGCGAUCUCGGCUCGCUGCAACCUCUGCCUCCCAGGUUCAAGCAAUUCUCAUGCCUCAGCCUCCAGAGUAGCUGGGAUUACAGGCAUGUGCCACCAUGCCCAGCUACUUUUUUGUGUUUUUUCUAGAGACAGGAUUUCACCAUGUUGGCCAGGUUGGUCUCGAACUCCUGACCUCGAGUGAUCCGCCCACCUUGGCCUCCCAGAGUGCUGGGAUUAUAGGCGUGAGGCACCGCUCCUGGCUGUGUUCUAUGUUCUGUAAAGGAAAACAGUGCAGGUAGGAGAAAAGAGGGGCCUGGGAAGGGAAGAAAACAGCAGGGAAGAGGAGGGCUGAAGACAGAGCAGGAGGAAGGCUGAGUGGCUUUAGCUCUUUGGCCUAACCCAGACCAGUCAGAGUUCACUCUGGGCACCUCCCAGUGGCAGCCACUUGAUUUGCAGGCAAAGAGCUUGGAGACCGGCUCUGCAAAUUCAGCCUUAUCCAUGUCCACAUGGGUAUGGCCCCGGAAAGCACUCAACAAAUAUGCACUAAAUGGAUGACUUCAGGCAGUGAUCCAGAUUAUUCAGAGCAGAAAGCUGCUUGGGCUCUGAUUACAGAAAAGUACUCCCCGCUCAUCCGGAUGCAGGGAUACCUUCCAAGACCCCCUGUGGAGGCCUGAAACUGUGGAUUGUACCGAACUGUAGAAAUACAGUACUGUUUUUUUUUCCUAUACAUACAUACCUAUGAUAAAGCUAGGCACAGUAAGAGAUUAACAGUAAUUACUAAUGAUAAACAGAACGAUUGCCACAAUAUACUGCUGUAAUAAAGUUAGUGUGUGUGAUCUCUCUUUCACAAUAUCCUAGUGUUCCAUGCUCACCUAGUUUCCGGCCACUAUUGACCGUGGGUACCUGAAAUUGCAGAAAGCAGAAACUCAGAUAAGCAGGGACUACUGUACUCUUUUUUUUUUUGAGACAGAGUCUCGCUCUCACCCAGGCUGGAGUGCAGUGGUGUGAUCUCGGCUCGCUGCAACCUCUGCCUCCCAGGUUCAAGCAAUCCUCCUGCUUCUACCUCCCAAAGUACUGGGAUUACAGGCAUGAGCCACCACGCUCGGCCCUGUACUCUUAUUUGCAGGCUCACAUGGCUUUAGGGAGACUGUAUUUUCCAGAAUGCUGAUGACAUUUCUGCUCCAGAUCUGGGGAAGUGUUGGUGAGUCAGUACUCAGCAGGAUAGAAGGCUGAGGACAGUUUGGGCCCCCACAGGUGGCCAUUCUCCCUCCCCAGAAACCUGGCCAUGUGGUGGGCCGAGGCUGCCCGCUCUUUCGAAACUCCAAGCUCUGGGCACCCACAAGGAAGGAAGGACGAAGCGAGGGUGGAGUGAGUGCAGUGAGAAGCGCUCCUCCCGGCCGCCAGCACCAUCCUGCGGAGUUAGUGAUGUGGCGGGAUCAGAGUUCAGUCUUUACAGGGAAUGUCUCCUGGAGACACAUCUUACUGGCAGCAUCUGUGGGCUGCCUGGGGUGGGGUGAGGCAGGAAUGGGGUGGCCUGACCCCUGCCCUGCCCACCUCUCACGCACGCACCUCCACCCACCUGCUGGCUGGUCCCAGAGGCCUUCCUAGGUUCCCGGGAGGCUCUCCGCUGGGAGCCAGGGGAAGUGUCAGAGCCAGGGCGACAUUCCCAGGAAUAGCGAGAGGCCCCAAGGACUCAUUCCCUUUCAGAACGGAAGGCCUCGGUGACCCAGGACCCUCCUGGGGCCGUCACAAGUCUUCGAGUAACCACUGGGGCCCAGCGGGUGAGCUUCAAGGCCACUCCUAAUGGCCACCACGCUGACCAGCAGCUUUUCGAAUGGGCUGGUCCUUUGGAACUGCCCCUGGCUGGUGGGUGUCCCUGCCUGCCAGCCCCCGUCCUGCUGGCCUUGGCCUGGGUGGUGGGCUGGCCCCAGGGUGGGGUGUUCCUCCUACCCCUGCCUCCGCUUCCAUCACUUUUUUUUUUUUUUUGAGACAGCGUCUCUGUUGCUCAGGCUGGAGUGCAGUGGCGCCAUCUCGACUGAUUGCGACCUCUGCCUCCUGAGUUCAAACAAUUCUCCUGCCUCAGUCUCCCGAGUAGCUGGGAUUACAGGCGCCCACCACCGCUCCUGGCUACUUUUUGUAUGUUAGUAGAGAUAGGGUUUCACCAUGUUACCCAGGGUGGUCUAGAACUCCAGACCUCAGGCAAUCCAUCUGCCUCAGCCUCCCAAAGUGCUGGGAUUACAGGCUUGAGCCACACAGCCUGGCUGCUUUGGUCACUUUGGGAACAGUAUUCCAGUGUCAGGCUGCUGGGCUCGGGAGCUUGGGUGUCUGCCCCAGUCAGUCGCCCCUCUUGGGGUGGGACACCCAACAGGCAUGGAACACAGGGUACCUGUGUCUUUUAGGGUGCAGGGCUGGGCAGUUCCAGCAGUGUCCACCAGGGGGCGGGGCCGCACCGCUCAGGGUGGAGCUGGAGCCACCAACCCGCAUCCUGGCUGGGGCUCCCGGCUCUCACCACAGCCCUCUCCGCCUGGCUUCUCUGGGCUUGGGCAAGGCCCCUAACUGUUCUGUGCCUCAGUGUCUUUCCCCUUGAAGGGACUGAUCUGCAGAGUGCCCGCCCUGGGGUUGAGCUUAUGGUGAGGGCUCGGUGGCAGCCAGCCCUGACUGUCCUGUUUACCCCAUGGAGAAACUGAGGCUGGAGUGUCCGCUGGACAUCCGAGGUGACACCCUCAGGUGCAGCUGGCAGCGGGGCCCCAGGAGAUGCUGGGAGAUGCCUAGAUUUGUGGGGUUCUUGGUAUGUGCCCAGCACGCAACAGUUCCAGUUGCAGUCUGGACUCUCUCUGGCAUUGUUUUUUUCAGAAGGUCAUGUUUUCUGUGUGAUACAUAGAAUACCU
RNAcentral lists this long non-coding RNA (6290 nucleotides) under Homo sapiens (human). RNAcentral's name for it is "non-protein coding lnc-WDR5-4:7". Lineage: Eukaryota; Metazoa; Chordata; Mammalia; Primates; Hominidae. The record is from RNAcentral.